GUGCCCAUAGCUCAGUUGGUUAGAGCGUCGGAUUGUGGUUCCGAAGGUCGCGGGUUCGAGCCCCGUUGGGCACC
RNAcentral lists this transfer RNA (74 nucleotides) under Planctomycetaceae bacterium. Its description in RNAcentral is "tRNA-His". It matches the Rfam family "tRNA". From Rfam's summary of the family: Transfer RNA (tRNA) molecules are approximately 80 nucleotides in length. Their secondary structure includes four short double-helical elements and three loops (D, anti-codon, and T loops). Further hydrogen bonds mediate the characteristic L-shaped molecular structure. tRNAs have two regions of fundamental functional importance: the anti-codon, which is responsible for specific mRNA codon recognition, and the 3' end, to which the tRNAs corresponding amino acid is attached (by aminoacyl-tRNA synthetases). tRNAs cope with the degeneracy of the genetic code in two manners: having more than one tRNA (with a specific anti-codon) for a particular amino acid; and 'wobble' base-pairing, i.e. permitting non-standard base-pairing at the 3rd anti-codon position. Lineage: Bacteria; Pseudomonadati; Planctomycetota; Planctomycetia; Planctomycetales; Planctomycetaceae. The record is from RNAcentral.